RNAcentral lists this ribosomal RNA (430 nucleotides) under uncultured archaeon. RNAcentral describes it as "bacterial SSU rRNA". It matches the Rfam family "Archaeal small subunit ribosomal RNA", at positions 474 to 903 of the family's 1478-position model. The record is from RNAcentral.
UACCAGCUCUCCGAGUGGUGUGGAUGUUUAUUGGGCCUAAAGCAUCCGUAGCCGGCUGGGCAAGUCCCCUGUUAAAUCCACCGAUUUAAUCGUUGGAGUGCGGGGGAUACUGCUCGGCUAGGGGGCGGGAGAGGCAGACGGUAUUUUCGGGGUAGGGGUGAAAUCCUAUAAUCCCGAGAAGACCACCAGUGGCGAAGGCUGUCUGCUAGAACGUGCCCGACGGUGAGGGAUGAAAGCUGGGGGAGCGAACCGGAUUAGAUACCCGGGUAGUCCCAGCUGUAAACGAUGCAGGCUAGGUGUUUGGACGGCCACGUGCCGUUCUAGUGCCGCAGGGAAGCCGUUAAGCCUGCCGCCUGGGGAGUACGGCCGCAAGGCUGAAACUUAAGGGAAUUGGGCGGGGAGCACCACAAGGGGGUGAAGCUUGCGGUUU